This is a long non-coding RNA of Meriones unguiculatus (Mongolian gerbil), 1648 nucleotides long. The record is from Ensembl. Lineage: Eukaryota; Metazoa; Chordata; Mammalia; Rodentia; Muridae.
AGUCACCUCCAGGAAAUCAAUUCAAAGUAGCCACAGAGUGGGUGCAUUCCUUAUGAUUCACACAAACUUGGCUGUAGGGAUUUAGAUGCCAUUUUCUCAACAUGACUGGAGAAAUGACAAGCGCAACAGAAGGUCAGAGAAGCCAAUGAGUGCUAUUUGCAUCUUGUAAAAAAUGAAGGCAAAUUGUAAGAGUGCUGAGCAGGAGGCUGAAAUUCAGAUCCUUCGUGGACAAUAGAUCUUCACCUCCUCACCAGGGGCUUUUGGUUGUUUCCUCAAGCAAAACCAAAACUGAAGGAGGAGUCACUCACCUCCUGUCAACCUUGUUUCAGAGGCUUUGUUUGUGAGCAAAGAAGGAAGCAUAGAUGCUUCAGGUGUCUCCAGAAUCCAGCCAUGACAGGGAGGCAGCAUCUUUCAUGGCCUCUGGCCAGGAGAACUAUACACACAGCAUUAACCCUGACUACAGAGGACCCAGAAGUCAUUUAUAAACAUGGAACUGACUCCUGGAAUCAUUCAUCUAUACGCCUGGUGUUCACGGAUUUAUACUUAAAGUUUCUGCAACAAUUGAUUGGUUAUUAUUUAUACUAUCCUUCUGUGCUUGUAACACUUACAUGGACAGAGGAAGAAGAAGAUGAAAAGUCAAAAGCAUAAAGUGGCCUAGCAUGCAGAGGUGAAGCUACAAGGCAAGAGCUCACUCUGGAGACACAAUGCCCAUGCCAUCCCCAAGGCUACAGCAUGUCCAGUCUUAGCAAAGUGAGUGAGGAAGACCUUCAUGCCUCUGACAAAGAAGUAACUCUAUAUCUCUGAUUUCAGCAAUGAUAAGAGUUUGAUAAAAGAUUUAUUCAGUAUUUUUAUGUAUGUGUAAGUGUCUGUAUGUGUAAUUUGUGUGUACCAGGAUGCUGUCUACUUGCAGAUGUCCUCAGAGGUAAGGGGACACCUCAAUCCCUAGAAUUGGAAUAGUUAUGAGCUACCUGAGGUGGGCACAAAACCCAGGCAGGUCCUCUGCAAGAACAGUAUUUUGUCUUAACUCAGAGCCAUCUCUCUAGCCCCAAGAUGAAGGUUAUCUUACAGCAGUCAUUAUUCUUGUUAUUACAAACACAAAUCACACAGACAUACUGUGAAUAUUAGCUUUUGAAACAAAAGACACCCAUAUAUGCCUUACUUUUUUUCUUAUACUUGAGUAAUAUUAAGGUCCUCCUUUGAUUUGAUUAAAAUUGCAUUGGCAACAAGUGACAAUGGCAUAUUUGAUGCUCAUGGCCAUUUGCAUCACAUUCUGUUCAUUUGGCUUCUCUCUCCACUCCCCUUAUUCUUUAUCUUUUUCAGUUUCAUAUAUCAUACUCAUUCCAUAUAUUCUUGAACACUGCCAUGGAUUUGUGCUGUAAUCAAAGUAAAGAAAAAUUAAACAAAUGGAUAAAUGUAUUAAACAUUUCUUGAACCACUUUGUACUUGAAAAAAUAAUGGACUGGGGCCAAAGGACCUAUGUUCCCUCCCCGCUCCUAGGUGCCCUUGAUUAGCUAUGUGUCAAAGCUCUAGGAUCCUUCCAAAAUCAUUAGAACCUCCAUUCUUCAUUGUAAAAUGGUUCUAAAAAUUCUUUGAAGACUACCACAUAAGGCUAUAAAAUGAAAUGAUUUUAUGUAUAUGAAAUAGUUUU